Molecule: long non-coding RNA, 3991 nt
Filed under: Homo sapiens (human)
Lineage: Eukaryota; Metazoa; Chordata; Mammalia; Primates; Hominidae
Description: non-protein coding LOXL1-AS1:43
Source: RNAcentral
AGUCCCUGGAGUUCCCAGCCAAGCCACAGACCUGCCUCUGAGGAAGGGAAUCGAGCAGGGAGUAGGAGGGGACCUCUGGGGACUCGGGCCUGGAGCUCCUGCCUGCCUGGAUGAAGAGGAGGUCAAGACUUUGUCCCCCACUCCGCAAGAUACCCUCUCUGUUCCGGAGCGGUGGGUCCCUCCCCUGUUAGGACCUUGUCUCCCUCAGGACUGGACCUGGAUCCUGGGCCUGCAGUCAGAUUGCCAGUUUCACUUAGAGGUGGAAAUGUCAACCCACUGGUUGGAAUGGGAAGGUAGGGUGUGGGGUCGGGGAGUACCUUCAUUUCUAUCUGCCCAGGAGGCCAGCCGCUUCCUGCAUAGCAUUUCCUUCCUGCAGUAUGGGAAGGACCAGGCUUUCUCAGACCACAGAAUCUUGAGAGCCAUUUCCACGUGGAGCAAGUGGUGGCUACCAGCCUUGGGUCUACAUAACUAGGGCCUCAUCCCUGGCCCAAGAAUCCUGCUCCACAGCCUUCUUGUGUCCCUGUAGGAGGAGAAACACCUGGCAACUUAAAUUUUUUAAAAUAACUUUUUUUUUUUUUUGAGACGGAGUCUCGCUCUGUCUCCCAGGCUGGAGUGCAGUGGUGCGAUCUCGGCUCACUGCAAGCUCCGCCUCCCAGGUUCAUGCCAUUCUCCUGCCUCAGCCUCCCAAGUAGCUGGGACUACAGGCACCUGCCAUCACGCACGGCUAAUUUUUUUGUAUUUUUUUAGGUGAGACAGGAUUUCACCAUGUUAGCCAGGAUGGUCUUGAUCUCCUGACCUCAUGAUCUGCCCACCUCGGCCUCCCAAAGUGCUGGGCUUACAGGCGUGAGCCACCGUGCCCGGCCAAAAAUAACUUUUAAAAACAUGAGUAUAGCAUACACACACACAAAAGUCCACAAAUCCUAGGUGUACCACUUGAUGAAUGAUCCCAACGUGAGCACACCUCUGGAUUACCACCUGGAUCAAGAAAUAGGACAUCACAGCAGCUGGCAGCUUCCAAGGAGAAGCUCUGGAAAGUUCUGCCUGUCUCAGCACCUGGCUGGAUCGGAAACGAGUUUUCUUUAACCAGAUUUUUAAUGACUGACUUAUGUGGACAAAUCAUAACUGAAUGAAUCACCUCCUUUGUUGAUUUUUUUGGGUACUUUAUUUGCUAUUAUAAAUGAUGCUGUAAUAAGCACCCUUGAAGAAAUCUUCAUAUCUGCCUCUCCUGUGUAGCAGGUCACAGUGCCUGGGUUUGGUUCUAGCCCUCAUUUGUGAACUGUGUGACUCACCAUGCCUUUUUUCUUUCUGUAAGACAGGAAUAAUGGUAAGAAUUUAAAUGGGGGUAAUAUGGAGCGCGUUUAGUUCAGAGCCUGGUGCAUACAAGCACUCAAUAAGUACUGGCGAUUAUUAGACCUUUAGAUUAAUUUAUUAGAAGUUGGAUUUCUGGUGAAAGGGUUUGAGUGUUUUUGAGGCUUUGGCACAGAAUACCCAGCUGGUCCCAGAAAGGUGGUUCCCAUUUACCUGCCCGAAGGUAAUUCACCCUUACUGAUACUGAGUACUGUUUUCUAAAAGAACAUUAAAAAUUGGAUAGGUUAAAAACAGGUGAAUACAUUUUUUUAGUUGCAUUUUUUUGGUUACCCGUGAGAGUGAACAUGUUGCCAUGUGUUUGCUGACCUCCUAAAUGGUCUAUUUGCUCCUACCUUUGUACCCCAAAAGUCUGCUCUCAAGAUGGUAGCCAGAAUGAUCCUUUUUGAGACAUAAGUCAAAAUUUCACUCUUCUCCUUAAAGCUCUGCAAUGGUUCUCAGGUUAAAAGCCAAAGUCCUGUUCAAGGCCUCCAGGGUCCUCACCACUUGGUCCCUUGCUCUUUCUGUUCUAGCCAACUUGGCCUUCUCCUGCCCCUCCGCCGCACCAUGGCAAUUUCCCCUGCUCUGUGUGGUCAACUACCUGAAUCUGUUCAAAGCUUUGCUCAAAUGUCUCCUUCCUGAUGAGACCUCCCCAGCCCCUGAGCUCCCCAUGCCUCACUCCUGAUCGCCUUACUUAACCCUUCUUUUUCUUUUUUGCCAGUAGUACUUAUCACCGUCUAAAAUACUUCAUAAUUUACUUGUUUAUUGUUUGCCCCUCUCCAAUAGAAUGUAAGCUCCUUGGGGCAGGGACCUUUGUCCUUUGUCUUGUUCACUGCUGUGUCCCAUGUGUAAACUUGUCUGGCACAGAAGAGGUGCUCGAUAAAUAUUUGUUGAGUGAAUGAAUGGUAAAUUUUCUGUUCAUAUUCUUUGACUAUUUUCUAUUGUAAUGUUCAUCUUUUUAGUAUUGGUUUAUAAGAUGUAUAUUUAGCACCUUUUCAUAUAUCACUCUUUGUCACAUAUUAUGCAACUAAUUUGUCAUUUCCAUCAAUUUUUAAAAUACUUUCUUGAUGCUUCAUUUUUAAGCUGUCAGAUUAUUAAUCUUUUCUUUAUGGUCUUGGACUUUAUUGUUGCAUAACCGCUGCCUUCACCAGGAACAUAUAAAUUUUCAAUUAAAUGUUCUUCUGAGAUUUUAUGAUUUCACUUUUUAUAUUAAACUCUUCAUUUUGUCUUCAUGUGUGGUGAGAGGUAAGAACAUAACUUUAAAGCAAAUUAACCAACUAUCCCCAAAUGAAUUAUAAAUAAAUUAAUCAUUUUCCAAUGAUCUGAAAGGCCAUUUUAUCAUACACUAAAUAUUUUUGUGUGUUUGACUGGGUUUACCGUUCUGUUCCGUUGGCCUAUCACAUCGUUCUUACAUUGGUAUUUGUUGCCCUAUUUUAAUGAUUGUAACUUUUUAAUAAGGGUUAAUGACUGAGAAUACAAGUCCCAUUGUUUUGUUUUAUUAUUUUUAUUAUUUUUUUGAGACAGGGUUUCACUCUGUCACCCAGGCUGGAGUAUAGUAGCACUAUCUCGGCUCAUUGCAACCUCUGCCUCCCUGGUUCAAGUGAUUCUCCCACCUCAACCUCCCGAGUAGCUGGGACUACAGAUGCAUGCCACCACACCCAGCUAAUUCUUGUAUUUUUAGUAGAGACAGGGUUUCACCAUGUUGACCAGGCUGGUCUUGAACUCCUGGCUUCAAGUGAUUCACCUGCCUCGACCUCCCAAAGUGCUGGGAUUACAGGCGUGACUCACCACGCCUGGCCCAUUUUUUUCUUUUGAGGUGUUCUUUGUGGCAAUUCAUAUAUUCUUUAAGAUAAAUUCUAAACUUUUUUUUUCUGCCGAGAUAAACUAGCAGACAAAUCCCACUGGACAUUGCAAUUGGAUUAGUUUUGUAGAUUAAUUUAGUGAUAAUCAACUUCUUUGCACCAUUGAGUGCUUCUGUCCGGGAACGUGGCAUAUCUUUCUAUUAUUAAGGUCUUUUUUAUUAUAGGUCUUUAGGGAAGCUUUAUUUUAUAGAUGAAUGUAGUGUGUUUGGUGCUUAUUUUCAUAAAAUAAAGCAAUGACAUCUGUGGCAGGCAGCUUCUGAAAUGGCUCCCAAUGAUCCUUACCUUCUGAUAGUCACCCCCUUGGAGAAUCCCUUUCCUUUGUGUGUGGGCUGGAUCUAGUGACUUGCUUCUCAUAAAUAGAAUAUGGCAAAAAAUGAUGGGUUGUUACUUCUGAGAUUAGGUUAUAAGAGGCGAAUUUCUGUUUUGCUGUAAUUUUGUCUCUCUAACCCUCUUGCUUUCCUGUGCUCAUGAAACCAGCUGCUGUGUUGUGAGCCACCUUAUGGAAAACCCAUGUGGCAGAGAACCGAGGGUGGUGGCUGGCCAACAGCAAGCCAGGAGCUGAGGCCCACAGUCCAACAACUGGUGAGGAACCACAUGCUGCCAGCAGCCAUGUGAGGGAACUUAGAAGCAAAUCCUUCCCCAGUUGAGCCUUCAGAUGACACCAGAGCCUUGGCUGACCCCUUACUUUUACCCUUGUAAGAGACUUUGAGCCAGAAGACUUGGCUAAACCACACCUGGAUUCCUGACCCACAGAAACUUGAAAUAAUAAAUGUGUUGUUUUAAGU